Molecule: ribosomal RNA, 693 nt
Filed under: Acinetobacter sp. PU-2-10-8
Lineage: Bacteria; Pseudomonadati; Pseudomonadota; Gammaproteobacteria; Moraxellales; Moraxellaceae
Description: bacterial SSU rRNA
Rfam family: Bacterial small subunit ribosomal RNA
Source: RNAcentral
UGUAGCUUGCUACAUUACCUAGCGGCGGACGGGUGAGUAAUGCUUAGGAAUCUGCCUAUUAGUGGGGGACAACAUUUCGAAAGGAAUGCUAAUACCGCAUACGCCCUACGGGGGAAAGCAGGGGAUCUUCGGACCUUGCGCUAAUAGAUGAGCCUAAGUCGGAUUAGCUAGUUGGUGGGGUAAAGGCCUACCAAGGCGACGAUCUGUAGCGGGUCUGAGAGGAUGAUCCGCCACACUGGGACUGAGACACGGCCCAGACUCCUACGGGAGGCAGCAGUGGGGAAUAUUGGACAAUGGGGGGAACCCUGAUCCAGCCAUGCCGCGUGUGUGAAGAAGGCCUUUUGGUUGUAAAGCACUUUAAGCGAGGAGGAGGCUACCUAGAUUAAUACUCUGGGAUAGUGGACGUUACUCGCAGAAUAAGCACCGGCUAACUCUGUGCCAGCAGCCGCGGUAAUACAGAGGGUGCAAGCGUUAAUCGGAUUUACUGGGCGUAAAGCGUGCGUAGGUGGCCAAUUAAGUCAAAUGUGAAAUCCCCGAGCUUAACUUGGGAAUUGCAUUCGAUACUGGUUGGCUAGAGUAUGGGAGAGGAUGGUAGAAUUCCAGGUGUAGCGGUGAAAUGCGUAGAGAUCUGGAGGAAUACCGAUGGCGAAGGCAGCCAUCUGGCCUAAUACUGACACUGAGGUACGAAAGCAU